RNAcentral lists this ribosomal RNA (118 nucleotides) under uncultured bacterium. RNAcentral describes it as "partial 16S ribosomal RNA". It matches the Rfam family "Bacterial small subunit ribosomal RNA", at positions 1369 to 1482 of the family's 1533-position model. The record is from RNAcentral.
CGUUCCCGGGCCUUGUACACACCGCCCGUCAAGUCACGAAAGUUGGUAACACCCGAAGCCGGUGGCCUAACCCCUUUGUGGGAGGGAGCUGUCGAAGGUGGGACUGGCGAUUGGGACU